This 468-nucleotide ribosomal RNA is filed under the name uncultured bacterium. Its description in RNAcentral is "partial 16S ribosomal RNA". It matches the Rfam family "Bacterial small subunit ribosomal RNA", at positions 28 to 507 of the family's 1533-position model. The record is from RNAcentral.
GAUGAACGCUGGCGGCGUGCUUAACACAUGCAAGUCGAACGGUGAAGGCGGAGCUUGCUCUGCUGGAUCAGUGGCGAACGGGUGAGUAACACGUGAGCAAUCUGCCCCUGACUCUGGGAUAAGCGCUGGAAACGGCGUCUAAUACUGGAUACGAGCUGCGAAGGCAUCUUCAGCAGCUGGAAAGAAGUGCGGUCGGGGAUGAGCUCGCGGCCUAUCAGCUUGUUGGUGGGGUAGUGGCUCACCAAGGCGUCGACGGGUAGCCGGCCUGAGAGGGUGACCGGCCACAUUGGGACUGAGAUACGGCCCAGACGCCGACGGGAGGCAGAAGGGGGGAAUAUUGCACAAUGGGCGGAAGCCUGAUGCAGCAACGCCGGGUGCGGGAUGACGGCCUUCGGGUGGUAAACCGCUUUCGCCUGUGACGAAGCGUGAGUGACGGUAAUGGGUAAAGAAGCACCGGCUAACUACGUG